Molecule: long non-coding RNA, 207 nt
Filed under: Mytilus galloprovincialis (Mediterranean mussel)
Lineage: Eukaryota; Metazoa; Mollusca; Bivalvia; Mytilida; Mytilidae
Source: RNAcentral
GUUAGCUUACUAAAUUUUAAUUGAACAAAUAUUUAUGUAUGUUCAUUUAAAAAAUAGUCAUAUAUAGAUAUAGGAAGAUGUGGUGUGAGUGCCAAAGAGACAACUCUCCAUCCAAAUAACAAUUUAUAAAAGUAAACCAUUAUAGGUCAAUGUACAGCCUUCAACCAAGAGGCAUAUGUUUUACAUGUGUUUUAUAUUACAACUUCA